Molecule: RNA transcript, 3512 nt
Organism: Bombus pascuorum
Lineage: Eukaryota; Metazoa; Arthropoda; Insecta; Hymenoptera; Apidae
Gene: Kap3
Gene name: kinesin-associated protein 3
Exons: 17
Source: RefSeq, a predicted model, not a curated record
AUUUUAAACCAAAAAGAUAUUGGAAUAACAGGGCGACGAAAGGACCUAAACGAAUUAUAAACGUUAGUUAUAAUCUUGAUUUUUUCCAUGAAAAUGAAGUAAUUACGAAAGAAUUAACAAAAUAAUAUCAUAAUAUAUACCAUAUUUUCAUGUUUUAAAUUGCAAAUAAAAUAUUAAAAUGGAUGAAGCAAAGUUUCUAAAACGAAAAGUAAGAUCUGGCACUUUAGAUGUGCAUCCAACAGAGAGAGCUUUAGUAGUAAAUUAUGAUGUUGAAGCAUUAAUCUUGGGUGAAUUAGGAGAUCCUAUGUUAGGAGAUCGUAAAGAAUGUCAAAAAAUAAUUCGACUAAAAAGUUUAAAUUCGGACACAAAUGUAUCACUUUUAGCUAAAGAAGUAAUUGAAAAAUGUUCUUUGAUACAUGAAUCGAAGCUUCAUGAAGUAGAACAAUUAAUUUACUAUCUUCAAAAUCGUAAAACAAAUGAUGCUACAAACAGUGAUAAUAAUUCUCAACUGUCAAGACCAACAUCAUCCAAUUCAGUAUCUACAGAUAAUGGUGAAACAGAAAGAGCAAUCAUUAGCAACGUUGACAAUUAUAUUGAAUUGUUAUAUGAAGAAAUACCAGGAAAAAUCAAAGGUUCCUCACUAAUUCUACAGUUAGCAAGAGUACCUGAUAAUCUUCAUGAAUUAACAAAAAAUGAAUCUUUGUUAAGUGCUUUAGCUAGAGUUCUAAGAGAAGAUUGGAGAAGGAGCAUAGAAUUAUCUACAAAUAUUGUAUACAUUUUCUUCUGUUUUUCAACAUAUAGUCAAUUUCAUAAUAUUGUUCUUGAAUACAGGAUUGGAUCAUUGUGUAUGGAUAUAAUUGACUUUGAAUUACGUCGAUAUGAUCAAUGGAAAGAGGAUAUGGAAAAACGUAGGCGACAUUUCGAAAAUACUACAGGAUUGACAUUUUUUUCAACUGGAAAUGAUAAUUGUGACAAGAAAACAAAAGUCAUUGAUGAUAUUUGGAAUACAGAUGGUCCUUUAGAUUAUGAAAUUAAAAAACGAUCUAAUGAAGUAACUGUUACUGUAACUGAAAAUGAUAUAAAGAAAUUAAAAGAAGAACUUGAGAAAAGUCGUAAAAAAUUCAAAAAUUUAAUAAAAAAGCAGGAACAACUAUUACGAGUUGCAUUUUAUUUGUUAUUAAAUAUUGCUGAAAAUAUGGAAGUUGAAAGAAAAAUGCGCAAAAAGAAUGUAAUUGGUAUGCUCAUCAAAACAUUAGAUAGGACAAAUAUAGAUCUGUUAAUACUUGUUAUUGCAUUUCUAAAAAAAUUAUCCAUAUUUCGCGAGAAUAAGGAUCUUAUGGCAGAGAAAAAUAUUAUCGAAAAGAUUCCAAGACUUCUUCAGAGCAAUAAUGCAGAUCUUGUUCUAAGUACUUUAAAAUUAUUAUUCAAUCUUUCCUUCGAUGCAAAACUCAGAGCAAAAAUGAUAAGAGUGGGUAUAUUACCAAAGUUAAUUAAACUACUUGGUCAAAGUGACAUUAAAAAUAAAACAACAAUUUUGGGUUUAUUAUAUCAUGCCAGUAUGGAUGAUAAAGUAAAAGCUAUGUUUACAAAUACUGAAUGUAUCCAAAUGAUCACAAAUAUGAUCCUAAAUUCUGAAGAUGAUCAACCAAAAUUAGAAUUAAUAGCACUUGGUAUAAAUCUAGCAAUUAACAGCAAAAACGCGCAACUUAUGGUAGAAAACAAUCGUUUACAAGGUCUCAUAAAAAAAGCAUUUCGGACUCAAGACCCUUUAAUAAUGAAAAUGAUUCGAAAUAUUUCUCAACACGAUUCAACAAAAGAGAACUUUGUUGAAUUUGUGGGUGAUUUUGCUAUAGCCUUAAAUCAAUCAGAUUCUCAAGAUUUUGUGCUUGAAGUUAUAGGUGUUUUAGGAAAUUUAGAACUACCUGAUUUGGAUUAUUCACAAAUACUUCAUCGAUGUGAUUUGAUACCAUGGAUACGCAAUAAUCUUGUUCCAGGUAAAGCUCCAGACGAUUUAGUACUUGAAAUUGUAAUAUUUUUGGGUACUGCUGCAUUUGACGAAGAUUGUGCACGUUUACUGUGCAAAGCCGAUAUAUUGCUUUCUCUUAUUGAGCUUCUUAAAGCAAAACAAGAGGAUGAUGAAAUGGUUUUACAAAUAAUUUAUGUUUUUUAUCAAAUAUCUAAACAUGAUUCGACAAGGGAUUAUUUAAUACGCGAGACUGGUAAUGAAGCACCUGGGUAUUUAAUAGAUCUUAUGCAUGAUAAAAAUCCAGCAAUUAGAAAAGUAUGUGAUGCGUGUUUAGAUGUUAUUGCGAUGUGUGAUAAAAAUUGGGCAGCUCGCAUAACAGUAGAAAAGUUCAGAUCACAUAAUCAACAAUGGUUGGAAAUGGUAGAAUCUAUAACAAAUGAUAGUAGCAAUCACUUAUUACCAGAAGAAGACGACAGUCUUUCUCCAUUUAUGAAUGGUGAUCUCUUAAAGCAUACAAUGCUCUUUCCAUCGGGUAAUGUAGCAUCAUUUAAUACAGAUGAUCGAUUUUCAAUUAUGAAAAAUUCAUCAGAGUCAUCUGAAAAUCAAAGUCGUCCAGUUAGUAGGUAUAAAGAUUUUGAUGAACUAGGUGAACUUAUGGCACGUUCUAAGUCUCGUAUGUCCGUUAGUUCUGGUAUGGACGAUCUUUAUUACAAUUCUAAAGUUAAAUUUCCAGAAUCAGAUGGUUCACAUGUACUAAUAUAGAAGGUCAAUAUUAUAUAAAAUUAUAUGUUAAUAAUGUAAUAGUUACUUUAUUUGAUUACGUGAUGCACUAUGCACGAUUGAAGCAACAAAAUUAACAUCUGUAGCAACCUUUAAAUAGUUUAUUAUAUACAUAUUUAUUCAUGGACAAAUCUUAAAAAGCUUUAAAAACUGUGUACGUGAUAAAUUAUUUUGAUCUCAUAAUGUAAUAUUUUAAUUUUAAAAAAUUUUAUUUUUUAUCAAUUAAUUUAUGAAUGAAAAUAUUUAGUUCAGACUGAUUUCUAGCUUUAUAUCUUUAUAAAAUAAUUGAUAUAAUUAAUGUGAUAAUUUUGUUCACUAUAUAUUUUAGCAUGUGCAAUAUUAUAAUGCUAUUAUGCUACAAAUGAAAAAAUAGUUUUAGUAAUAAUAUGGUACUACACACAUAUGCUUCUGUUGCAUAACAUUUAAUAGUAAAAAAUUGGUAGGCAGCAGCAAAAGAAACAAAAAAUUAUAAAACCCCGAGUUAAUAAUUUAUAAAAAUCUAUUUUAUAUCAAGACAGUUUAUAAAAUUGUAUUCUUUACUUAACUAUCAGAUACACAUUCCUUUAUUUUAAAUAUUGGAAAUUUAGAUAUUGAACUAUUAGUGUAAAACAAUGUUAUAUAUGUUAAAAAGUAGUUUUAUUCCCAAGCAUUUAUUAUUCUAUAUGUCAUAAUAAGUGGAAGUAUGGAUUACCAAUAUAUUUUAAUUCUUCUUCUUACAAAGAAAUACUUGUCAUCAAUUAAAAUAAAAUUCACAAUUAUUGAAAGA